This 213-nucleotide unclassified non-coding RNA is filed under the name Glomeraceae sp. Its description in RNAcentral is "partial contains 5.8S ribosomal RNA and internal transcribed spacer 2". The stretch from base 1 to 71 matches the Rfam family "5.8S ribosomal RNA", at positions 84 to 154 of the family's 154-position model. Lineage: Eukaryota; Fungi; Glomeromycota; Glomeromycetes; Glomerales; Glomeraceae. The record is from RNAcentral.
GUGAAUCAUCAAAUCUUUGAACGCAAAUUGCACUCUCUGGUAUUCCGGAGAGUAUGCCUGUUUGAGAAUCAGUAUAAAUAAAAAUCCGUGUUUUGCCGGCCUUUCUUGGUGACGCGCCCGAUUUGGUUCGUCUUACCUGCUGUUAAGUGACCUAAAAUUUUGCAUUAAUUUUUUCGAACGUAUUUAAAUGAUUUUACAUACGUUUGCGAUAUC